RNAcentral lists this ribosomal RNA (392 nucleotides) under uncultured phototrophic eukaryote. Its description in RNAcentral is "bacterial SSU rRNA". It matches the Rfam family "Bacterial small subunit ribosomal RNA", at positions 355 to 761 of the family's 1533-position model. The record is from RNAcentral.
UGGGGAAUUUUCCGCAAUGGGCGAAAGCCUGACGGAGCAAUACCGCGUGAGGGAAGACUGCCUAUGGGUUGUAAACCUCUUUUUUCAGGGAGGAAUAACUGACGUGUACCUGAAGAAUAAGCAUCGGCUAACUCCGUGCCAGCAGCCGCGGUAAGACGGAGGAUGCAAGUGUUANGCGGAAUCACUGGGCGUAAAGCGUCUGUAGGUWGUUGUUUAAGUCAACUGUUAAAUCUUGAAGCUCAACUUCGAAAUCGCAGUCGAAACUAUUCAACUAGAGUAWAGUAGGGGUAAAGGGAAUUUCCAGUGGAGCGGUGAAAUGGGUAGAUAUUGGAAAGAACACCGAUGGCGAAGGCACUUUACUGGGCUACUACUGAGACUCAGAGACGAAAGCU